Molecule: ribosomal RNA, 460 nt
Filed under: uncultured bacterium
Lineage: Bacteria
Description: partial 16S ribosomal RNA
Rfam family: Bacterial small subunit ribosomal RNA
Source: RNAcentral
CCUACGGGUGGCAGCAGUGAGGAAUCUUGGUCAAUGGGCGGAAGCCUGAACCAGCCACGUCGCGUGAGGGAUUAAGGCCCUGCGGGUCGUAAACCUCUUUUGCCGGGGAGCAGAGGUCCGGACGUGUCCGGGCCGGGAGAGCACCCGGAGAAAAAGCAUCGGCUAACUCCGUGGCAGCAGCCGCGGUAAUACGGGGGAUGCGUCAGUCAUUCGAAUUUAUUGGGGUUAACGGGUGGGUGGGCGGGCAUUUCAGCAGUCGGGCAAAUGUCGUGGGUAAACACCGGCCUGCCGUUGAUACUGGGUGCCUUGAGGGGACGAGAAGUAUGCGGAAGGCGUGGUGUAGCGGUGAAAGGCAUAGAUAUCACGCAGAACCCCGAUGGCGAAGGCGGCAUACCGGCGCCCUACUGACGCUGAGGCACGAAAGUGUGGGUAGCGAACAGGAUUAGAUACCCGAGUAGUC